GACGAACGCUGGCGGCGUGCUUAACACAUGCAAGUCGAACGAUGAAGCCCAGCUUGCUGGGCGGAUUAGUGGCGAACGGGUGAGUAAUACGUGAGUAACCUGCCUUUAACUCUGGGAUAAGCCUUGGAAACGGGGUCUAAUACCGGAUACGACCAACCCUCGCAUGGGGUGUUGGUGGAAAGGGAUUUUGUACUGGUUUUAGAUGGGCUCACGGCCUAUCAGCUUGUUGGUGAGGUAACGGCUCACCAAGGCGACGACGGGUAGCCGGCCUGAGAGGGUGACCGGCCACACUGGGACUGAGACACGGCCCAGACUCCUACGGGAGGCAGCAGUGGGGAAUAUUGCACAAUGGGCGCAAGCCUGAUGCAGCGACGCCGCGUGAGGGAUGACGGCCUUCGGGUUGUAAACCUCUUUCAGCAGGGGAGAAGCGAAAGUGACGGUACCUGCAGAAGAAGCGCCGGCUAACUACGUGCCAGCAGCCGCGGUAAUACGUAGGGCGCGAGCGUUGUCCGGAAUUAUUGGGCGUAAAGAGCUUGUAGGCGGUUUGUCGCGUCUGCUGUGAAAGCCCGGGGCUUAACCCCGGGUUUGCAGUGGGUACGGGCAGACUAGAGUGCAGUAGGGGAGACUGGAAUUCCUGGUGUAGCGGUGAAAUGCGCAGAUAUCAGGAGGAACACCAAUGGCGAAGGCAGGUCUCUGGGCUGUAACUGACGCUGAGAAGCGAAAGCAUGGGGAGCGAACAGGAUUAGAUACCCUGGUAGUCCAUGCCGUAAACGUUGGGCACUAGGUGUGGGGAACAUUCCACGUUUUCCGCGCCGUAGCUAACGCAUUAAGUGCCCCGCCUGGGGAGUACGGCCGCAAGGCUAAAACUCAAAGAAAUUGACGGGGGCCCGCACAAGCGGCGGAGCAUGCGGAUUAAUUCGAUGCAACGCGAAGAACCUUACCAAGGCUUGACAUAUACUAGAUCGCCUCAGAGAUGGGGUUUCCCUUCGGGGCUGGUAUACAGGUGGUGCAUGGUUGUCGUCAGCUCGUGUCGUGAGAUGUUGGGUUAAGUCCCGCAACGAGCGCAACCCUCGUUCUAUGUUGCCAGCACGUAAUGGUGGGGACUCAUAGGAGACUGCCGGGGUUAACUCGGAGGAAGGUGGGGAUGACGUCAAAUCAUCAUGCCCCUUAUGUCUUGGGCUUCACGCAUGCUACAAUGGCCGGUACAAAGGGUUGCGAUACUGUGAGGUUGAGCUAAUCCCAAAAAGCCGGUCUCAGUUCGGAUUGGGGUCUGCAACUCGACCCCAUGAAGUCGGAGUCGCUAGUAAUCGCAGAUCAGCAACGCUGCGGUGAAUACGUUCCCGGGCCU
This 1348-nucleotide ribosomal RNA is filed under the name uncultured bacterium. RNAcentral describes it as "bacterial SSU rRNA". It matches the Rfam family "Bacterial small subunit ribosomal RNA", at positions 28 to 1381 of the family's 1533-position model. The record is from RNAcentral.